This 252-nucleotide ribosomal RNA is filed under the name uncultured bacterium. RNAcentral's name for it is "partial 16S ribosomal RNA". It matches the Rfam family "Bacterial small subunit ribosomal RNA", at positions 524 to 776 of the family's 1533-position model. The record is from RNAcentral.
UACGUGGGUGCGAGCGUUAAUCGGAAUUACUGGGCGUAAAGUGUGCGCAGGCGGCGUUGCAAGUCGAGUGUGAAAUCCCCGAGCUUAACUUGGGAAUUGCGCUCGAAACUACGAUGCUCGAGUGUGGCAGAGGAAGGUGGAAUUCCACGUGUAGCGGUGAAAUGCGUAGAUAUCUGGAGGAAUACCGGUGGCGAAGGCGGCAUCCUGGACCGGCAUUGACGCUGAGGAGCGAAAGCCAGGGGAGCAAACGGG